GUGAAUCAUCGAAUCUUUGAACGCAAAUUGCACUCUCCUCGGAGAGUAUGCCUGUUUGAGGUUCAGCCUAUAAAAAACGACAUCUGUGCUGUUUCGCGGUGGCAUUCGUCGGUAAUUGGGUCAUCUUAAAUCCUUUUGAUUUAAGCGUCUUAAAAUUUUCUUUUUUUUCCAUGAACGUUUCUAAGAUUUAUUUCUUUACACGUUUAAGUUAUCGUUUUUUAUUAUACGUGGUCGUCACAUCAGAUCGCGUCCAUAUUUUUUUGCUA
RNAcentral lists this unclassified non-coding RNA (266 nucleotides) under Glomus sp. Its description in RNAcentral is "partial contains 5.8S ribosomal RNA and internal transcribed spacer 2". The stretch from base 1 to 65 matches the Rfam family "5.8S ribosomal RNA", at positions 84 to 154 of the family's 154-position model. Lineage: Eukaryota; Fungi; Glomeromycota; Glomeromycetes; Glomerales; Glomeraceae. The record is from RNAcentral.